GACCAAAGGGGGCGAGCGAAAGCGGCUCCCGCUGAAGGAUGGGCCUGCGGCUGAUUAGCUAGUUGGUGGGGUAGCGGCCUACCAAGGCGACGAUCAGUAGCCGACCUGAGAGGGUGACCGGCCACACUGGGACUGAGACACGGCCCAGACUCCUACGGGAGGCAGCAGUGGGGAAUAUUGCGCAAUGGGCGAAAGCCUGACGCAGCGACGCCGCGUGGGUGAUGAAGGCUUUCGGGUCGUAAAACCCUGUCGGGUGGAACGAAUCUCCGCCUCGCUAAUACCGAGGUGGAUUGACGGUACCACCGAAGGAAGCCCCGGCUAACUACGUGCCAGCAGCCGCGGUAAUACGUAGGGGGCGAGCGUUGUUCGGAUUUACUGGGCGUAAAGAGCGCGUAGGUGGUUCGAUGAGUCGGAGGUGAAAUCCCUCGGCUUAACCGAGGACCCGCGUCCGAUACUGKCGAACUUGAGUGCAGGAGAGGAGAGCGGAAUUCCCAGUGUAGCGGUGAAAUGCGUAGAUAUUGGGAGGAACACCGGUGGCGAAGGCGGCUCUCUGGACUGUCACUGACACUGAGGCGCGAAAGCUAGGGAGCAAACGG
This 596-nucleotide ribosomal RNA is filed under the name NC10 bacterium enrichment culture clone Ino-nFR2. RNAcentral describes it as "bacterial SSU rRNA". It matches the Rfam family "Bacterial small subunit ribosomal RNA", at positions 199 to 775 of the family's 1533-position model. Lineage: Bacteria; Methylomirabilota (SeqCode). The record is from RNAcentral.